GAACGGGUGAGUAACACGUGGGCAAUCUGCCCUUCACUCUGGGACAAGCCCUGGAAACGGGGUCUAAUACCGGAUACGACCUGCUACCGCAUGGUGGCGGGUGGAAAGCUCCGGCGGUGAAGGAUGAGCCCGCGGCCUAUCAGCUUGUUGGUGAGGUAAUGGCUCACCAAGGCGACGACGGGUAGCCGGCCUGAGAGGGCGACCGGCCACACUGGGACUGAGACACGGCCCAGACUCCUACGGGAGGCAGCAGUGGGGAAUAUUGCACAAUGGGCGAAAGCCUGAUGCAGCGACGCCGCGUGAGGGAUGACGGCCUUCGGGUUGUAAACCUCUUUCAGCAGGGAAGAAGCGAGAGUGACGGUACCUGCAGAAGAAGCGCCGGCUAACUACGUGCCAGCAGCCGCGGUAAUACGUAGGGCGCAAGCGUUGUCCGGAAUUAUUGGGCGUAAAGAGCUCGUAGGCGGCUUGUCACGUCGAUUGUGAAAGCCCGAGGCUUAACCUCGGGUCUGCAGUCGAUACGGGCUAGCUAGAGUGUGGUAGGGGAGAUCGGAAUUCCUGGUGUAGCGGUGAAAUGCGCAGAUAUCAGGAGGAACACCGGUGGCGAAGGCGGAUCUCUGGGCCAUUACUGACGCUGAGGAGCGAAAGCGUGGGGAGCGAACAGGAUUAGAUACCCUGGUAGUCCACGCCGUAAACGGUGGGAACUAGGUGUUGGCGACAUUCCACGUCGUCGGUGCCGCAGCUAACGCAUUAAGUUCCCCGCCUGGGGAGUACGGCCGCAAGGCUAAAACUCAAAGGAAUUGACGGG
This 805-nucleotide ribosomal RNA is filed under the name Actinomycetales bacterium TLI070. RNAcentral's name for it is "bacterial SSU rRNA". It matches the Rfam family "Bacterial small subunit ribosomal RNA", at positions 100 to 917 of the family's 1533-position model. Lineage: Bacteria; Bacillati; Actinomycetota; Actinomycetes; Actinomycetales. The record is from RNAcentral.